Octopus sinensis (East Asian common octopus) is the source of this 158-nucleotide long non-coding RNA. RefSeq lists it as uncharacterized. The record is from RefSeq and is a predicted model, not a curated record. NCBI's taxonomy places the organism in Eukaryota, Metazoa, Mollusca, Cephalopoda, Octopoda, Octopodidae. The transcript is spliced from 3 exons.
AUAAAAUGAAAGGAAAGUGGUUGGCAUUGGGAAGGGCAUCCAGCUGUAGAAUCUAUGCCAGAGCAGACUGGUGCCUGGAGCAGCCACUGGCUUUCCUGACUUCAGUCAAACCGUCCAACCCAUACCAGCAUAGAAAACAAACAUUAAAUGAUGUUGAU